Molecule: long non-coding RNA, 1440 nt
Filed under: Homo sapiens (human)
Lineage: Eukaryota; Metazoa; Chordata; Mammalia; Primates; Hominidae
Description: lncRNA divergent activator of TBXT
Source: RNAcentral
CCCUGAUUCCCGCGCGGGGUCCUCCUCGCUUUCCCAGCGCGCCCGGAUCCCGCAGCCGCGCCAGGCUGGAACGUUCGCGCGGCCUCACCUGUCCCCGCUCCAGGCGCGCCUCCCUCCCCUCCCAGGGACGAGCGCAUUUGGCCGGGCUUUGGGAUGCGCCGCGCUCGUCUCGCCGCAGUAGUAGUGCUGUUCUCGCGCCUCCGAUGCCUCAACUCUCCAGUCUGGCAGUUUCCGGUGCACCUGUCCCCACACGUCCCUCGCCCACGGAGCCCCAGGCGGCGUUACGCACACCCAGGAUCGUGGAUCAGCCUGCCCCGGCGUCGGGUGUCCCCGCGGCUCUCACCAUCUGGAAAAGGAAGGUCCGCGCGCAGAGAGGGAAAUGGACGGAAAUAAGCAAAAGCAAAACAACCCCUUCUGAGAAGUGUCCUCCUCGCUCUCUUAUAAAAACAGGACUUGUUGCCGAGGUCAGCGCGCGCAUCGAGUGUGCCAGGCGUGUGCGUGGUUUCUGCUGUGUCAUUGCUUUCACGGAAGAGAGAAUGUCUGAAGCAUUGAAGAGUACGACCCAGGAAUUGAACCACCCAAGUCGGAGGAGGUAGAGGUUGGAAGUCACCGACUUUGGCCAGCACUUGUGUAGUGUCACCUGUCUUCACUUUCUAACGUUUAUUUUUCCUCCCCUUUCUGUGGCUGAUUUUCUGAUCUUUGUUCCUCGGUUCCCAGGACCAGGCCCACUCCCUCCGCCUUUUCAGCGAAGGCUGCAGUGCAUGACAGUUUACAGCCAAAACUUCCUCCAGCCCGGCUAUAAAGAAUUCCCAGUUAAUAACAAUGCGCUUCCUUGGGAGGAAAGAGGGGCUGAGGCACCGCCAGCUGUUUCGCUCCCAGGGUCUAUCUCUCCUUGGCAAGCCCAGCCAUUCAGAGAAAAACAAGACAAAGCCUUAUGGCUGGGCCUCAGGAUGCAACUGUCCCACCGAAAACAUGCUUGAAACAUUUUAUAAGAAAACACACACACACACCCCACUCGACUCCCAGAGAGGCAGUUUUCCUGGGCCCAAUCCCUUCUGAAAAAGCAAAGCCAUUUAUCUUUAGAAGCAGGCAACAAUGAAGCUGUAACAGGCUCAAGGAGGGGUGGAGGACAGCCUCGCGUGACUCUUACCCCACACUCUAGUCCCUCUCUUUCUGCAAGAAAAACAAAUGAAUUUCUUUUCUGAUUAUAUAUGUACUCCUUGUAGAAAUAUUAUAUAUGUAUCUGUCUUCAUAUAUAUGUAAAACAGUCACCCACAGUAUCUGUGGGGGAUUGGUUCCAGGACCUACAAAGAUGGCAGAAUCCAGGGAUGCCCUAGUCCCUUGGCAUGGUAUUUGCAUAUAACCUAUGGACUUCCUCCAUGAACUAUAAAUCACUUCUGGAUUACUUAUAAUACCUAAUACAAUGUAACACUAUGCAAA